Molecule: ribosomal RNA, 503 nt
Filed under: uncultured Glomeromycotina
Lineage: Eukaryota; Fungi; Glomeromycota
Description: partial small subunit ribosomal RNA
Rfam family: Eukaryotic small subunit ribosomal RNA
Source: RNAcentral
CCAAUAGCGUAUAUUAAAGUUGUUGCAGUUAAAAAGCUCGUAGUUGAAUUUCGGGGUUCAUCCGUUGGUCGGGCUUUUUUGGUCUGUACUGGCGUGAUGGAUUCCUACCUUCUGAAUAACCAGCAUGUCAUUAAUUUGGUGCGCUGGGGAAGCGGGACUGUUACCUUGAAAAAAUUAGAGUGCUUAAAGCAGGCUAUCGCCUGAAUACAUUAGCAUGGAAUAAUGAAAUAGGACGGCAUGGUUCUAUUUUGUUGGUUUCUAGGAUCACCGUAAUGAUUAAUAGGGAUGGUUGGGGGCAUUAGUAUUCAAUUGUCAGAGGUGAAAUUCUUGGAUUUAUUGAAGACUAACUUCUGCGAAAGCAUUUGCCAAGGAUGUUUUCAUUAAUCAAGAACGAAAGUUAGGGGAUCGAAGACGAUCAGAUACCGUCGUAGUCUUAACCAUAAACUAUGCCGACUAGGGAUCGGACGAUGUUAAUUUUUUAAUGACUCGCUCGGCGCCUUACG